CCUACGGGAGGCAGCAGUAGGGAAUUUUGCGCAAUGGGCGAAAGCCUGACGCAGCAACGCCGCGUGAUCGAGACGCCCUUCGGGGUGUAAAGAUCUGUCAGUGGGGGCGAAACUUGACGGUACCCACAGAGGAAGCACCGGCUAACUCCGUGCCAGCAGCCGCGGGAAUACGGGGGGUGCACGCGUUGUCCGGAAUCAUUGGGGGUAAAGAGUUCGUAGGCGGGACGUAAAGUUUGGUGUGAAAGGCAGGGGCUCAACUUCUGUACGGCACUGGAUACUUGCGAGCUAGAAUGCGAUAGAGGUAAAGGGAAUGCCUGGUGUAGCGGUGAAAUGCUUAGAUAUCAGGAGGAACACCGGUGGCGAAAGCGCUUUGCUGGGCCGUAAUUGACGCUGAGGAACGAAAGCCAGGGGAGCAAAUGGGAUUAGAUACCCCAGUAGUC
Molecule: ribosomal RNA, 440 nt
Filed under: uncultured bacterium
Lineage: Bacteria
Description: partial 16S ribosomal RNA
Rfam family: Bacterial small subunit ribosomal RNA
Source: RNAcentral